GAUAGGUGUGUAUGUGAG
This 18-nucleotide non-coding RNA is filed under the name Arabidopsis thaliana (thale cress). Lineage: Eukaryota; Viridiplantae; Streptophyta; Magnoliopsida; Brassicales; Brassicaceae. The record is from RNAcentral.